This 438-nucleotide ribosomal RNA is filed under the name uncultured bacterium. RNAcentral describes it as "bacterial SSU rRNA". It matches the Rfam family "Bacterial small subunit ribosomal RNA", at positions 8 to 437 of the family's 1533-position model. The record is from RNAcentral.
AGAGUUUGAUCCUGGCUCAGGACGAACGCUGGCGGCGUGCCUAACACAUGCAAGUCGAACGAGGUUCAGUCAGUAGCAAUACUGACGAAGACCUAGUGGCGAACGGGUGAGUAGCACGUGAGCAACCUGCCCCGAAGACCGGGACAACACCGGGAAACCGGUGCUAAUACCGGAUAUCCCCAUCGUGUCGCAUGGCGUGAUGAGGAAAUGGAUUCCGCUUCGGGAGGGGCUCGCGGCCUAUCAGCUUGUUGGUGAGGUAACGGCUCACCAAGGCUUCGACGGGUAGCUGGUCUGAGAGGACGAUCAGCCACACUGGGACUGAGACACGGCCCAGACUCCUACGGGAGGCAGCAGUGGGGAAUCUUGCACAAUGGGCGAAAGCCUGAUGCAGCAACGCCGCGUGAGGGACGAAGGCUUUCUGAGUUGUAAACCUCUUUC